GUUCCUUUUGUAGUCAAACAGCCGGGAUCUUCUUUUAAUUUAAAAAUGCAUUUGGGUCAUGGCAGGGGGCGGUGUUUGAAGCCAUCACCCUCCUAUGGAGCUAGUCAGCGGGUGAGGCGGGUGCGCUGUAGGGAUGGGCGCUGGGCUGGAGAAAGGAAGGUUGUAGCCUUAGUUGGUUUGGACUUGCUCAGCAACCUUUUUUUAAAUUGGUGCCUCUUGCUGAUUGUUUGACUUGUUGGGUUUUUAAUAUACAGGCGUUACUCACAGGCCAAUCAAAGCUUUUGGCGGACAAAGGGAAGUUUCCAAUUGGUUGAGGUUGUUUGAGGCGGAGAGAGGGAGCCACAUGAUGACAUCAUAAAAUAAAGGGUCAGGACAUUUAAGGGCUGCUGUAGGAUGAGCGAAGAAAAAAGGCCGUAAGCCACAAAAGAAAUGCUAUGAACUGCUCUUUGAUUUUUCUCUCCCUAAAAUCAGACUUUUGACAUGAUUUUUAGCUCCGUCUCAAGUCAGAACUUGGCCCAUGUUACUUCGCCUGCAGAUUGAGAGGAUGGGUAGCCUUAGGGGUUGGUUGUUAUCUUUGGUUAUCUAGCUGUAUGAGUGAUGUACAUUCUUCAUAAAGCUAGAUAACCGAAAGUAACAAGAAUCCCAUUACACUCCUGAAAAGGCAUCAAGACCCCAAAUGCGCCUCCCUACAAGAAAAUGCAAACUUUGCCAGAAGAAUUGUAACAUGAGAGAAGAAAAUGGACUACAUUUUAAAGAAGACGGGAAUGCGAUGCAACAAAAGGCUACCACAUUACUGAAGGAAAGCUGGCAAAAGAAGACUGAAAAACAGAGAAGGAGGAGGGGUUGUUGUUGAUUCUGCCCUCCCUCUCUCCUCGCCCUCCACUGCAUUGCCUCUUCCCUCCUCCUCUUCCCUUCCUCAUCCACUCCAUCCUCAGCAGACUGCCCCUUUUUCCUGUACAGCGAAACGCAGCCCGCGCCACCAUCUUAGAGCAACGCUGGCAUGAAAUGGAAGUGGGAAGACCAGUCAGUGCAGAUAAAUGUGAUUGGUGCAGGGGGAUCCAGAAUGGACAGAGCACACAAAAGGAGGACGGUGGGACUCCUCCUUCAUUCGCUGCCUUUUAGCUGGAGUAAACACGGAGGAUGGCGAUGCUGUCUGCAUGCGAGCCGGCAGUGAUUCCUGCCAUAACUGUGGAACGCUGUGUAUGUCUCCUUGAUGCAUCGCUCGAACCAACACUCAGCCUGGACUGCUUGUGAAUGACUUUUGGUGUUUUAACUGAGCAAACAUCAUGGACUCCAAUCAUGGAAACCUGUGGGACUCGUUGGAAAAUAAGCAGCCCGAAGGCUGGAGGAACUGCUUGAUAAUUGUGACUCUUAAUUCUUUUAUUUGUAGAUGUGGCACUGAAUUUUGUAAUUAUUAUCCUAUAUUUGAUUGUAAAAAAAUAUUGUUUAGACAUGAAGGAAUAUAAUCUGUCCUCAGCUGUCAUAGGCUCCACUUAAUGUAGGUUGUAUUUGAUGAUUUGUAGCCCAUAUUUUGCUCAUUUUCUCUUUUGUUAUAGUUGCUAGGACUCAAAAGACAUGUGAAUGUGAGACCCACGGCAGCAGUGAAUAAUACUGCACUGCGAUUGGACAGCUCCGUGUGUCAGCUGACACAAUGGCGAAGGAGUGAGCUGUCGUCUUUAUACUCUAUGCAACUGUUCUCUUUUUUUCCUUUCUUUAUUGUUUAGGGGAAAAAAACCUUUUCAUAUUUAUUUUGGAUUAUGUUUUGAGCCAUCAGUUUACAGAAAUUCCUUCAGACAUCAUCAAGAGAAAUGGUUUAUGAGGUGCUGACGUUCCAGUUAUUAAUAUAGUGAAACAGAAAUUACAGUCAGGAUGUGUGUGUGAGUGUGUGACAGAUGACAGGAUACAGCAUUUUCAUCAGUGGAUGGAUUGAAUCUCAUAUUUGCAGCUUUCGACUGUGCAGCCAUGAGCCAGAGUCUGAGUAAAUGUGGACUCAAGCAUUUAAUAUUCCUGAUGGUUGGAGUGUGUUUGAUCAGCAGGAAGUAGCUCUGCGUGUAUACAGAACAUGCCACACUAUUAAAAGCUGCUCCCUAUAGCAGUCGUUGAGGCACAGCAGUUUGGCACAUAAUAGUUACCUGCUUUAGUGUAAUGAUACAUCUUUGGGUGAGACAUGACAAAUACAUUGGCUUCAAACACUGCCUUAAUUUCCUGUUCUUGACAUUAACACACAGCGACACACACGCCCGCACACACACAUGCACCCAAAUGCAAUAAGGCAAGUACUAUCAGGGCCUAAUUCAUUCUAUAUUAAUUUUCGGGAAGUGGCAAAUUUUUUAUUACGAUUGAUAAUCUAUGCAAAUCUUUUAAAUAUUACUUUAGACAAUCUAUGUCUAUGCAGCGCUUUUGCAAUUGAUUCAAGGGAGACUAUCUUGGCCUAAUUUAGAAAAUGUAUUCUUUUGAUAAUCAUGCACAUCCCAGUGCUCAAGACAAUUACUUAUCUGCCUGGAUAAGCUUGAAAUUAUGUUUUUAAUCUCUAGCAAAAAAAAGUCACUCUUCUGAAAUCAGUCCAGAGGCUUGAAAACCAUGAAUUGUGGUCUAAAAUAAUUAAAUCAGUUGCACUAAAUCUCCCUUUUCCUUAAAUGUAGAUCAAAUAUAUCUAUUUAGCUUUGAAUAGCAUACUGUUUAUAUAAGCAACAAUGUUUGUAUUAUGCAAUCUCAUCUUUGUGAAUGAGUGUUCACCACACGUGCCUUUGUAUGGAAAACUGUUGAAAUAGUAAUAAAGGUUUACAAUGAAAACAAUG
Long non-coding RNA from Astatotilapia calliptera (eastern happy), 2798 nucleotides. The record is from Ensembl. Lineage: Eukaryota; Metazoa; Chordata; Actinopteri; Cichliformes; Cichlidae.